GGCGUAUGCAGUGAUGGACAGAGAAUGGUUUUUCCAGAGAGAUAUCCCGAAUUUAAAUCACCAAAUCAGCAUUCAAACGCAACUGCAAAAGCAGUUAACAAAGAAAACAGUUUACAGAGCACAGAACGUGAACGUGAGAUGAGAAAGGAGCGCCUGAAGGAGUACAAUACCAGAAUAGAAAUGUGGAAACGGGACAAAGAAGGCAUUUAUCCUGACAAUUCCAAACAGAUGAAGAACUCAUGGUGAAGAAAUUUCAUCACUUUUCCUCUCGUAAAAUAAGAUUUGGAGUAUGCAGAAAUCAAAAUUGUGUGUCUAGAUGUUUGAAUAUGUGUAUAUAUGUCUGUCCAUUUUGCAGCCCACGAGUCAAUACUUGGUCUAGUAUAAUACGGUACUUUAUUGCAAUAGUGGUAGGAUUAUUUUUCACAGUUAAUUCAUUUACUUAAUUAUAUCUAUAUAUAGCAAACCUUUGGUCACAUAUAGACUAUCAGUUUAUUCAGUUGUUAAAUCCAGGCACAAAUACUUGAAACAAUUUCAUCAAACACAUCUAAACAACUAUAGGUUUGGCGUCAUAGGACCACAUAUUACAUUAAACCUACAUAUUGUACUUAUAUGCAACACUCGAUUAAAAUCGAAAGGCUGAUCCGAGUGGGCUAAGAAUAAACAUAUCGUAUGCGCGUGUCUGAUCCCAGGAGUGAAAGUACAGAACAUUGUCUGCGUUGAAUCCAGCAGCCAUAAAAAUUAUAAUC
Molecule: long non-coding RNA, 746 nt
Organism: Ostrea edulis (European flat oyster)
Lineage: Eukaryota; Metazoa; Mollusca; Bivalvia; Ostreida; Ostreidae
Exons: 3
Source: RefSeq, a predicted model, not a curated record